CAAAAUAAAAAGAGAAUAAUGUUUUUCUGUUAAACUGUGAUGUUUUCCUAUCAUCAAAUUAGUUCAAUGUUUAGGUGAUGAUGAUGUAAUUAAAAUGUACCAUUAGUUCUUUUUUAGAGGGAGUGUCAAUGAUCCCAAAUGACAUAACUUGAAACAAGUAUUUUUAUAUUGUUAAACUUAGCAAAAUUUCUCACUGUGAUGAUUAUAGAUAUGAUUUAUCAUCUAUAGAGCAUAAUAUUGUCGGAUAAAGCACUACACAGAUCAUGGUGUUGUCUAUGGUUGAAGAUUUAUGCACCUGUUAAUGAUUAUGGGAUGACAGCAUAUUCUAACUAAGGAUGCUACAGAUCUACCGUUCCUCUUAGGAGAAGUGUCAUUCUCAGAGGAUGCUUCCAGUAUUUGAUUGGGUCCCAAGAAUAUUCUGUUGGCUUAUGAACUUCUUCGAUUGUUUAUUUCUUUUUGCAGGUUGGAUUUGGAAAGAUCAGAUGUAGAAUCCCACAGCUGUUGGUGUGAUUUAAGAUUUCAAGAAAUGACCUGCUUUUGUCAUGAUCAACCAUGCCGAACUAUAUCGUGCUUCUUUUACUGGUUGAUUGAUGUUACAUUCACAUUGAAAUCUAUUGGAGCUUUGAGAUACAGUUUUGCCGGGUUGAUUUUCUCUUGUAUAAAAAUGAAGCAAUUGUCAUGGUUAGGUAAAGCUUCUAGAUAAGGUCAACUGAACCUGGAUGUUGCUGCAAUGAGUUACACCAUGUAGCGAUUGAGCAAUUGGCUGACUUACAGCUUAUUCCUAAGUUAAUGCUGAAUUACAAAUGAUUUCAACAGGUAAUUCUCCGUGAAACUAUUGGUUGUUCCGCCAUAUGUGUAGGUUCUUCAGUAACAUUUGUAUGUAUGCUUCAUUUAGUUUUUUCAUUUUCAUGUUCACAGUGAUGGUUCCAUAUUUCACUUAUUGCAGUUCUAUGCACUUUGACUGGUUUUCAGUCAUCUUGGUGUUGUGAGUUUUUGUCGUGUUAAUUGAUAUGAUUGCGGUUUUAAAAUGUACAAUUGUUGCUAAUAAGUUUAGCUCUUUUAAAGUGAACAAUUUGCUUUAGAGGAUAAGGUGGUCUCCUUUUCAACCAUAGAUAAAUAAAUCAACAAAUGAUAUUGUGUAUGCAUAACAAAUAAUGCUCAAUUAGGAAUAUCAAAAGUUGUGUUUUUUAUCUUCUCAAUAACGAUUGACAUGUCUUACUUUAUCCUCUAAAGCGAAAACCCACUUUAGAGGAGCCUAGUGAGAGAUGCCGGAUAACUUUAGGAUUUUUCCUUUCUCAAGAACAUGAGACAUUAUUUUGGUGAUUGUGAGUCACAUUUGAAGGUUUUCCCCUUUUCUUUUGGUCUUUUUUUUUCCCUCUCACUCUUCCCUCCCCUUCUUUCCCCGAUUUAACUUUUUCUGGUUAGGUUAAGCAAUGGAUAUGAUGAUCUUAUGAGCAGCUGCAAAAUGUCUUCACCAGAUGGUUCUGUGAAGUUUGUUUUUAGAAGUUCUUUGUAUUAUAUUUUCCCUAUUUUUUAGGGUUAAAUGUCCUAAUAUAAUCUGUUCUCUCUCCACAAACUGGUCUGGUCACUGACCGCAUCCCCGAUAAGUUGGACCUUAUAUUAGGGUAUUCGGCUUUGCAUAUAGUAUAUAAUAUAUGCAAAGCCCGAUAAGUGUUUGUUCUGCAUAUAGUAUAAUAAUAUAAUAAAAAUAAAAUAACAAGGUUAGUUUGUUCUUA
Molecule: long non-coding RNA, 1736 nt
Organism: Cicer arietinum (chickpea)
Lineage: Eukaryota; Viridiplantae; Streptophyta; Magnoliopsida; Fabales; Fabaceae
Source: RefSeq, a predicted model, not a curated record